GCUUCCCACGUCCAGGAGCACAUCUAACUUAUCGAACGCUCCCGGCAGCCCUAUGGAACAGACAGGACGAUCAUCCUCCCAUAAUACACAUGAGGAAACCAGACACAGAGAGGUUUAGGAGCUUGCCUGAGGUCACACAGCCAUUUCAGUGAAGAAUUGGCAUCCAGAACACUGAGCUGCCCUCGCCUCCCAGACCGCGAGCCUGAGUCGGCCGCUGCCCUGCACCGUGGUCCCCCAGCUCCCGAAACUGUGCUGGGAAACCCCGUUUCGCCAAGAAUGGCUAAAGCAGUGCUGCCACUGAUGAGAUCUGUUCCACGGAGACCCUCGGCCCCAGCCCUGAGGCCUGCUGGCCUGGGAGCACCCUCUCCCCAUCCUACCUCGGAAUCUUUUCGGGCAUCUCCCUUGCCUGCGGAGGAGGUAUGGGGCUUUGGAAUCGGGGACUCAGGCCCCACACUGGACUCUACCGGUGACCUCGGGACAGCCUCAGUGUCCUUGUCCCUGAAGUGGGACGCCAGUGGCCUCCUGCCAGGGUGGCUGUGAAGGUCAGUGAGGAGCAGAUGUGACCGCUGCUGGUGUGCUCCAGAGGAGAGCCCAUCAGGGACUGCAGAGAGCGUCCGUCUGCACCUCCUCCAUUGAACUCUGGACUGGGCCACUGCCCUCCUUGUCUCCUUUCCAAAUCACUUCUGUCAUGGUCCCAGCAGGAAACAGAUGGCACGCGCAAACGAUUUUCUGGAAGGACUUUGGCAAAGGGACUGUUGACAGGCGUGAGAGCGGGGUUAAGAGAGUCGACAAGGGAGGCGGCACCCCAGAAACAGAGACCGACUGUCCAAGGGCCCCGGGGUGGUCAGCAGGCGCCCAAGCCGGACCCCGCUUCACAUAGGAAGUCACAGCCAUUGACGGGCAUUUUCCACCUGCCAUACAAUGUCUUUAGAGAAUGCACAGGCUGCUUCGGGACCGCCAUUCGCAGCUCUUGUGCGCACUGAGGGACCUGAAUGUCAGCUCAGACUUGGUGCGCCGAAGGCUUUUCCAGGGGGAGCGAGUGCCCACCCGGCAUCGCACCCUGGUGUCUCCCCACGGGCUGUGAGGAAUACACGUGACCGUGUGCAUGGAAGUGCCCGGCAGCGUGUUCGGAAGGAGCAGGGGCUGUGCCCGCAUACAGGAAGUGCUUAAUCAAUGUGGAGAGCAAACAAGCAGGUUCUUUGCUGAGGGGAGAGGGAGACAUGAAGGUGAGAAGGAAAAAGAUGGCUCCCGGUGGGAUGAACCAAGGAUGCUGUAUGUUUGGUUGCUGUGACCCAUGGCCACAGACGUGGUGACUUAUUACAGCCCACAGUCAUUCUCGCCCAACUCCGGAGGGCAGACGUCAGCCGUCGGUUUCACGGACCCAAAUCGAGGGCUGGCCAAGGCUGUGCUCUCUCUUGGAGCCACUCGGGGAAUCACGUCCCUGGCCAUCUCCGGCUUCUGCAGCUGCAGUCGUUGGCUCCUGGCCCCGUCCUCCAGCUUCAACAUCAGCGGGUGGCCCCCCUCCCUCCAGGCCCUGGGCUGCGGGCAAAGGAGGGGGCCCUCAGGGCCGCACUGCCCGGCCACCAGCCCUGGGGAACCUGCCGGCUGUUUUCUAACAAUUAGUGGGAGAAAGACCUCAUCCAAGCACACCCAGGGCGGCCGUUUCUCCUGGCAGUACUUUCCGGUUUGGCUCCAAAAGAAAAUAAAAACGUGAUGUUUAGUAAUCCCUUCAAAAUCGCUUGUCUAUUUUGAAGCUUCAUUAAUUAACACCAAAUACCAUUAUUUAUUAAAUUCUUGUGAUUCAUUCUAUUUUUGAAAAUUCAGCGUUGGACGCGGGAGCCCUUAUGUCUAAGUGGCCUGGCGUGAGGCUGACGGACAGUGAGCAGAUGAGGAAGCACGUUCUAGAGAGACGUGUGGGUUCACUGUGUCGCGGUCGCUCAGACUCGGGCCCGUGGUCAGUAAUGGGUGAGCAGCCCCAGCCCCAGCAUGUGACUUGCCCACACCCUCCGGGGGGCACAGACGCCCUGGAGAGGGGACACCCUGCAGACGAUGUUGACCCUGGGCCCACCCCACACGUCCCGUGUGUUGCAGGGCCCCAUGCCCCAGCCCUGGCUGCCAAGCCCCUGAAGGCCCUCG
This 2136-nucleotide long non-coding RNA is filed under the name Equus caballus (horse). RNAcentral describes it as "lncRNA (ENSECAG00000033636.3)". The record is from RNAcentral. Lineage: Eukaryota; Metazoa; Chordata; Mammalia; Perissodactyla; Equidae.